RNAcentral lists this ribosomal RNA (673 nucleotides) under bacterium VII.14. RNAcentral's name for it is "bacterial SSU rRNA". It matches the Rfam family "Bacterial small subunit ribosomal RNA", at positions 88 to 796 of the family's 1533-position model. The record is from RNAcentral.
GGGGUGAGCGGCGGACGGGUUAGUAACGCGUGGGAAUAUACCCUUUUCUACGGAAUAGCCUCUGGAAACGGAGAGUAAUACCGUAUGAGCCCUUCGGGGGAAAGAUUUAUCGGGAAAGGAUUAGCCCGCGUUAGAUUAGGUAGUUGGUGGGGUAAUGGCCUACCAAGCCUACGAUCUAUAGCUGGUUUUAGAGGAUGAUCAGCAACACUGGGACUGAGACACGGCCCAGACUCCUACGGGAGGCAGCAGUGGGGAAUCUUGGACAAUGGGGGCAACCCUGAUCCAGCCAUGCCGCGUGAGUGAUGAAGGCCUUAGGGUCGUAAAGCUCUUUCGCCUGUGAAGAUAAUGACGGUAGCAGGUAAAGAAACCCCGGCUAACUCCGUGCCAGCAGCCGCGGUAAUACGGAGGGGGUUAGCGUUGUUCGGAAUUACUGGGCGUAAAGCGCACGUAGGCGGACUGGAAAGUAUGGGGUGAAAUCCCAGGGCUCAACCCUGGAACUGCCUCAUAAACUCCCAGUCUUGAGUUCGAGAGAGGUGAGUGGAAUUCCGAGUGUAGAGGUGAAAUUCGUAGAUAUUCGGAGGAACACCAGUGGCGAAGGCGGCUCACUGGCUCGAUACUGACGCUGAGGUGCGAAAGUGUGGGGAGCAAACAGGAUUAGAUACCCUGGUAGUCC